Molecule: long non-coding RNA, 21569 nt
Filed under: Nicotiana tabacum (common tobacco)
Lineage: Eukaryota; Viridiplantae; Streptophyta; Magnoliopsida; Solanales; Solanaceae
Description: long non-coding RNA (NTAB_LNC005000)
Source: RNAcentral
ACCCUUACCCCUUAAAAAUAUCGAAGAACCCCCCAAACCCUAGAGAACCAACCCCAUUUCCCCCUUUCUCAUCUCUUAACUCGUCUCUCUCACCUCCGUCAUCCGCCACCAGCCAGAAAUCGCCUACGGCGGCGGUGACACCAUAAAUCACCCCAAAUUGACAUCAAAUAAUCUCCAACACCCCCUAAUCACUUCUCCAUUUUCGGGUCUAAGAAGUCACAAAAAAUCUAAAUUUCCCCAUUUCGAGUUUCCCCAAAUUCCAUCCUACCUGAGGUUUAUACCAACAUUAAUUGAACACUCUUAUCAAGAAUUAUCAAUUGAAGUCAAUUUUGGACCUAUUCUAGGCCACCCGAACCUGGACACCACCAUGAAAGUCCCAUAAGUUGAUUUCUUUUGCUGGCGUAUGGCAAACAUUGCUGCAUAUAGCAUUGGCUAUGCCCUCAAUCUUGGUUAAUGCUCAUGUAGCGAUACUGGCUAUAGCUGAAUAUCUCUUUUCCCGGGCAGCUUUGUUCAUUAUUGGUAACCCUCUUUUUCACUUCUUUAAUUACUACUUAUAUGAUUUAAUUGCUUGAUAUUUUCUGUUACAUGUUAUAGAUAGCAUGUAUAGUUUAGAUUCGAGUUGGUUAGAUUGUCAAUUGAUAAUUGUCUGAAGGUUGCAUAAGUAUGUGAUUGUUAGCAUGUUUUUUUCCGAAGGUUUAGCAUGUUCUAGGUUAGUUAAGAUUUCAAAUUCAUUGAUUAUGUGUAAGGAUGGCAAAUGAGGCGGUGCGGGUGCAUGGCGGGGCGGGUUUAAGGCUAUGCGGGGCGAAGCGGGUCUAAAGUUAUGCGGUGCGGGACAAUUGCGGGGCGGGUUGAAAUGACUAAUCUAAUCUUAUUCAACCUUAGAUGGGAAUUAGGGCGGGGCGGGGCGGUUGCGGGUUUUCGCAGGUUUGCACAAGUUUACUGGAUUUGGCCUAUUGUUUUACCCAGUAAGACAUGACUCAUGAGCAAAGUAUGCGACAAAAAUAGUAGAAUAUCUAUUUUAAUAUUUGAUACUUAAUAAAAACAAACUAAAUCAUUUAUAACUUCUUCUCUUUCAAGUACACCUUUUAAUUAGUGAGAUGUUAAUUAAUUUAGAAAUUUUGAAUAAAAGAAAAAAGCUAGACAUUUAACGAAAUAUAAAAUGUAGUUUAGACAAAUAUUUUUAUGAUUAAUUUAUUAACAUUUAUCACUUAAUCAUCUAAUGAAAAGUUUGUUACACAAAAAUUAUUAUUUUAAUUUUUGUCACUUAAAAAAUAAUAACUUAAUAAUAGCAGCCUACUAAAUAGUAACAUAUUCAACGCUGUUUAAGGUAAAGUUUACAAAUCUUAAAACUUUCGUAAAGUAAUAGCACUUGUUGUAAGAUAGCAACAUGCGCUGAUUCAUUUGUCAGUUUCAAUUAUUAUUAUUAUUAUUAUUAUUAUUAUUAUUAUUAUUAUUAUUAUUAUUAUUAUUAUUAUUAUUAUUAUUAUUAUUUUUAGCAAAUCAGUUUAAUUUGGAAUCAUUUAAAUAUGUAAAUCAAAUCUCAUCUGGUUCGAGUAGUUUUAGUGAAAAUUAAUAUACAUGAAAUUCCAUAAAUGACAGAAAUUGCAAAUGCGGUGCGGGGCGGGGCGGGUGAAUGCGGGUGUAGAUGUGGGGCAGGUGGAUGCGGGUGCAAAUGCUAUGCGGGGCGGGGCGGGUUGAAAUCUUUGCGAAUUUAUGCAGGUUUGCCCCGCAACCACACCACACCGCACCGUUUGCGAUCCCUAAUUCUGUGUAGGCCAAAAUUUUAGAUGCAUAGUACGCAGUUUCAAUUUGGUCAAAGUAAUCUUGAUUAGCUAAUUGUAGGUUUGAAUUCGUUUAAUCACCUAAAUAGGCUAAAGUUUGAAUAUUGCUUGUUGUGCUGUGAUUUUUGAUUUAUCUGAGUUUUUUUCUGUUGUGAUAGUUGUUUGUAAUUACUGAAAUUCAGCGGUCUAAAAGAAAUGACAAAAAUGGAGGAAUCUGUUUUGUUCAAUUGGAAAUACAUUAAAAUGUGGAAUAAAUUUAAAUGUUGGGGUAAGAAUUGGAAGUUAAAAAAUUUAAAAGGGUCUGGGAAUAAAAGAAGCUUCUAGAAACAGGGACAAGUGUCCCAAUCUGUUAAAGAAAGAGUUGAGAGUGAGAGGAAAUAUCCAAAAACUGGAUAGCUAUCCAUUUUUCUGUUUCAGAAGAUGCCAAUUUCCUAAUUUUAAGAGGAUGCUGGCACAUUCCCUCAACCUCUCUCAUUCUAUAUCAUUUUGCUCGAAUUUUGAUGGGAUUUCUAGUUGGUUGCUAUUUCUCUUGUUCUUGAAUUGCUGGGAUUCUUCUUUUGUUGGCCACACUUCAUUUUGUCGAUCUUUUGCUCCUGCUGGUUCCUGUUGCUGCAUUUGUUUUUGUUGCUGCCUUUUUGCCAGUUUCAGAGAUUUAUUUUCUGUCUGUUUUGAUUCUGCUGUAACCAUGUAUGAAGCCAAGCAUCUGUUUCUUCCAUGGUUGUAUAAAUGAAGUUUGGAAAUAAUUGUUGGAUUCCAUAUUGAUGCAGGAGUGUUUGUUUAAAACUUCUAAUUCUGUGUUAUUUGGUUUAGUUCCUAGUCGAUAUGUAAUGUUAAACACUUUUUUUUUUAAAUCUUCGAGUUGGUAUAGUCAAUUGGUAGAUUUGAAGUGAUUUGGAAAAAUUGUUUAUUACUUGUGAGUUUAUGACUUGAUUUGAACUAGAGUUUAACGCAGUUGUGCUGAAGGGUUCUGAAUAGCAAAUUUAACCAUCAAUGAUGCUAGUUUUAGCUCCUUUUGUCAUUAUAGAAGGAUUUGGUUAAAAAAAAUGUUUUGUGACAACAAUGGAGUAAGAGGAUGUUUGGAAACUCAAACGUAGCCUAGAGAUUAGCCAUUCCAUUUUGGCUUAUUUGCUUGUUGGAUAUUCUAUUGUUGUAAUUGCUUAGUCAUUUGUUUCACAUGAACAAUUGAAAGCGUUGGUGACAGACAUAGAAGUCUGGUGAUACACCCCAUGUUUUCACAUAUGAGAGUAUGUCAUAAGUCAAUUGAUGUAAGCUCACAAAUGAGAUCAUCUUUGAAAGUACAUAAAGUAAUUAAAUCAUGUUAACUUGGAGGUUACAAAUAUUUAAGAUCAUGGACUGCAAAUACCAAAAGGUUGGAAGGCUUAGAAGCUAAAUCAAUUGAAGAAAAUAAGUUUCGUCGAAAGUCGACAAGUUAGGAAUGUUAUAACAUAUACUUUGGGGGUGAGACUAGGGUGAUCAAAAUGAUAAGGAGGUUAUGUUAUGAGUUAUUUUUGUCUUAUGAUAGUCGUGUGUUAUUUUUUGAAGUCAAGUGAAUUAUGGAACAAAAGUUGGCAAAUUUCAUCACAAGUUACAUUUAUAAAUAUGCUGAAAUUUAGGCCAAAUGUAGUUGAGAUUUUCUCCCAAUAUACUUCGAAUUAGGGGAUGCUCUACCUACAAAAUUAAAGAUCUACGAGUCUCUUUUCUAACGCAUAAAACCAUUCAUCGAUACGAUAUAUGAGUAGAGAGUAUUUGCAGUUUCGCGAGACUGCACAGACUGCAUAGGUAUGUCGCUAAAGCUUUUUCAGCAAUACAUUUUAUGUGUUACAUGAGGUCUUUUUGGAAAAUAUUAUAUACCAAAUUGAAGGUCUUGGAAUUUAGUUUCUAAUGCUCUUAACCAUUUGUUCAUUCGACAUCCAGAUAAAAAUAUAUAAGCAUCUGAAGAAUAGCCAAUAAUAGGGUGUCAAUCUAGCACCUCUUUGACUUUUCAAAAAUUGGUAUAUAUAGGCCUUAUGUCAUUUCUUUCUUCACUUUUUCACAUACCACGACCAGAAUAAUACCUCUAAACUUAUCCUCAAGCUCUCCAUAAGAGUUUCCAAUAAUAUUAAUAUCCCGGGUACGAAAUCAAGAAGUAAUAAUACUAGAAUGAUCCCUACGAUGUAAGUAUCGCUAUAUCGCCUCUCCUUUUCUUUUUAAUUUGUGUUUUGGAAGGUACUUCAUAGUUAAGAAACUGUCUAGUUUCUGUACUUAAGUUUUAAGUAUCAAGGAAAGUUGAUAAAUUCAUUUCCUAAUAGUUAGAACUUACAGGAUAGUGAUCGGAAGACAUGAGUUUGAGUUAUUCGACUUGUAGUGGAUUGUUUUGUGAGUUGUUUCGUGUUGAUUUUUGGCUGUAUAUUUUGCUAAUGUUUUAUGGAGUUUUGGAGGAUAAAAGAUGUGGAGAAACACCACAUAAUGACGGAAUGGUGGGCUGGUCAUUCGUCGUUACAUUUUUUUUAGGUUGUUUAACACUAUUUUUGUUGUCGUUUUAUGUAUGAAGUGAUUAGGGUGUGUGGGUUGUUUUGUGAUAUAUUGUGAUGGAGAUAAGGUUGGAAAAUGAUGCAUACAUGUUGUUAAUGUUGUGUUCUUGGUGUUGUUGGUAUAUGGUAUUGGAGGAGGGCCUUGUUACAAGGGAGAUGCUACCCAAAUUUACAUAAACAAGCUACUUGUUUAAGUUGCAGACUUAGCCUUUACUCAACACUGAUUUUGAAUCUCCUUAUGCAAUGGUAGAUUGAGUUGAGUUGUUUGAAGAAUUACUUGGAAGGUAUUAGGGACUCAAUGAAGUUAAAGUAUGUUAAGGCUAAACUUUAUCUUCAUUUUGGCAUGAUUUUGUAACUACAGGUGUUUGACAACGAGACAUAAAGAGAAGUUCAUAUUCCUGAAUUUAUGUACAUUGUCCUAGUCUAUAAGUUAGAGCAUUCUCCCUUAUUGGGACUUCAUAUUCUGUUUAGUUUUGUCUUCUUUCAGCCAAGAGAGUAGAGAGUCUAUAUAUACAGUAUUACAGUAUAUUCACCACUAUCGACCUAUAAUCGAUGGGCAUGCCUCUAUUGGGCAACCUCCGAUCAGAUGGUAAGUUUUAUACCGGGCCUACUAAGGCUGAGCGCUAAUGAGCGAGCCUAGAAUGGCAGAGAUACAGAGCCUGUAUGGCCGAGCACCUAUGAGUGAGCCUACUAGGGCAGAGCAGUUACACAUACCGAGCCUUAUAAGGUCGGAGAGCUAUUCCACUUACUAUAUUGAGAGAGUUGAGUCAGUAUCAGCAGGUAACCAUAUCUUGAGAUUAUCUUUGACUCCAAGUUACUUUCAGUUAUUAUAUUAUCAGUUCAGUUUCUGUUUUAAGUUAUUUUGUUGCCUUACAUACUCGGUACAUUAUUUUGUACUGACGUCCCUGUUGUCGGGAAUGCUGCAUUUCAGGCAUGUAGGUCCUGAUUCAUAUUUGGACAGACCCUCCCAGCAGACAGAGUCAAACAUCAGCUUGGUUGGUAAGCUCCGCUUCCUCGGAGUUACCAGAAGACCUUGGAGUCAAUUUUAUAUAUAUAGGUUUGAUGGGUAGGUCGAGGCCCUAUCCCUACCAUGGUACAGUUUAGUUAUCUCUAGAGGCUUGUAGGCGAGUCCUAUAUAUUUGGUAUAUCAGUAGAUAUUCAUGGGCGGUUUUGUCGGCCUGCACAGUUAUAUAUAUCAGCUUUUGGGUAUGUUUAACCCACAUAUGAGAGAGAAAUUAUUUUUAGACGAUUUAGAAUAUGGCCUCAUCGGUCAACGAAAUCUCACACACCGAUAGGAGCAUAAAACUUGGCGACCAACAGGAAGCCCAAAAAACUCCAGCCUGGGAAGAACAGAAAGUUAGUCUUCGUGUUAUUUUUGAAAUGUUGCAGGCACAACAGUUGGCUAUCGCUCAAAUGCAAAGCCAUCCGAAGACUCCCAGCAUAAUAGCACCGGAAACUACUCCCCUGGCUGAAUAGGUACCGGAGAGAUCAAGCAACAAUGGAUCAGUAGCCGAUCCUGCCAUCGUGAAAAUGCUGGAGGGCCUCACCAAAAGGAUCGAGUCAGGCGAGAAAAUAAUAGUAGCCAAUGACAAGAAGGUCGAAACCUAUAACUUCAGAGUCGACCAAAUCCCGGGCGCUCCCCCGGUGCUGAAGGGUGUAGAUUCGAAGAAGUUCAUACAACUGUCGUUCCUAGAGGAAGCGGCUCCGAAGCCCAUUCCAAAGAAGUUAAGAAGGCCAGAACUCCUGAAAUACAAUGUACCUCAAAUCCCAACGAACAUGUCAUUGCCUAUAUGUGCGCGGUAAAGGGCAAUGACAUAAAACACGACGAGAUCGUGUCCGUCUUACCGAAGAAGUUUGGAGAAACGCUCUCGAAGGGGGACAUGAUGUGGUAUCACAACCUAGCUCCCAACUCCAUAGAUUCAUUUACCAUGCUAGCAGAUUCCUUCAUAAAGGCGCACGUCGGUUCCAUCAAAGUAGCAACAAAGAAGUCCAACGUAUUGAAGAUUAAGCAGAAGGAGAACGAAAUGCUGCGAGAAUUCGUAUCUCAUUUCCAAAUAGAAAAAAUGGAACUAACCCCGGUCUUUGACGACUGGGUGGUGCAGGCUUUCACUUAAGGCUUGAAUGAGCGGAAGCUCGGUGGCCUUAAGACAGCUGAAAGAAAAUCUAAUCGAAUAUCCCGCCAUAACCUGGUCGGACGUCAACAAUCGGUACCAGUCAAAGAUCAGGGUCGAGGACGACCAGCUGGGAGCCCCCUCGGGCACAGUAUAUCUGAGCAGUCUCCUGGCGAAGGAGUCAAAAUAGAAUAAAGAGAGGUAUCAGUCGUACCCCGAUGAUAGUAGGAAUACCCGAGACGUUAUUCGCCUUGCAACGAUCGAUUGGUGAACAGAGGAUAUAACCCUCGGGGACCCAUCAACAGAGGUGAAUUUGACGGGGACACAGGACCAAUGGGGGCACCUCACCUAUCAGAAAACAACUUCAACAUCGAUAUUAUCGGACAUCGUGUUUGCUAUCAGCAAAAUCGGGGAUGCCAAAUGGCCUAGGCCUAUUCAUUCGGAUCCUUCCUAGAGGAAUCACAACUUGGUACGCGAACUUCGUAAUACGUACGGCCAUAGGACCAAAUAUUGUCACCAACUCCAAAAGGAAACAGCCAAACUACUCAAUAAAAGUCAUCGCCGAGAAUUUUCGGGCAAUCGGGCUCAAGUUCGAUUCCGAGAAAGAAAGGUGGCCAAGAAGAACGAAUCAAAUGGGCCACAACAUGUUAUCACAAUAUUGGAGGUGCGUCGACACUCCCCGGGAACUUGCGGAGAGGAGGACAAAAAUAUCCAUCACCGGAGAAAAACGAACCCGGGGAUACAUACCCGAAGAUGCCCUCACAUUCGGCGUAAAAGGCUUCUAAACCUUGCCCCAACUUCAUAACAACGAACUGGUAACCUCUUUCUUCACUCCUUCACUUCGAAUAAAACAUGCGCUUGUGAAUCCAGGUAGCUCGAUCAACUCAUGCCCGCCUCUCGAAUCCUUGACGGAUUCAGUACGACGAUCGAAAUAAUGAAAGGAAAGGUCAUCCUCUCAGUCAGAAUGGCCGGCGCGGGACGGAACGCCAAAUUCCUUGUCAUCAAAGGAGACACGAGAUAUAACGCCUUAUUCGAAUGGCCACGGACACACCGCAUGAAAGCGGUACCAUCCCCUCUUCGCCAAAUGAUGAAAUCCCUAGCAAAGGACGGAAUUAAAACCGUAUACGGGAACAACACGCGGCAAGGGAAGUGUUCGCGUUACGUAGCGUAGCGCCGACACCAAUAUCUCCAUUCUCAAAAGAGUCAAAAGGUAAUCAAACUACGUCUUUUGCUGAGCCUGAUUAAACACAGCGGAAGACCGUACCGAUUCCUCGCUCCAAACAAUAGGGACGCAUCGGGCCUCGGAAUAUCACCUACGCACCCUACGACGAGGUAAGACCACCUCCAUCUUUCAUUAUUUUAUAUCAACCCAUAUGGAGGAACCCGGUCAGAGCUGUCGAAAAUGUUAAUCCAACCCGAAUAUCUCAAGGCCUUAAUGACAUCUGUUGUACUCUUUCCCUUCGAUCGAGCUUUAUUUCAUCCCGAAGAGGGUUUCGCCGGCAAGGUUUUCAACGAGGCAACGUCCACGCGCUACCUAAGGAGGACCCAACAAGCUUACAAGACUUUCUUUUGCAAUCAACCCCGAACACUGGAGGUCAUCCACUCGGAGGAACCACAGAGCGACUGACUAAGUUCCAAUAGGAAACAAUGUACCGGGCCAAAUGGUCAAAUGAACCAUGUCCGCAUAAGUCGGGCUCAUGGAAACAAAACAGCAUGUACUUAUGCCGAACAAGCAAAGAAUAUCUUUCACCAAAGCAUCUCGUACUCCAAAGGAAAUCCAGCAUCCUCACAAGGAUCCCUUCACCGAGAACGCCCCGAGAUACUCGGAGACUAGCGUCAAUAAUCCGGCACCCGCAUGGCAUGAAUCAUACUUGUACCAAGUAUCAACAAAACUAUAAGACCUCAAAAGGCAUGAAAAGUUUGUAAGACCUUACUACAGGCAUAAACUCAAUCCCGAAGCUUAGGCUAUAUGUCGCAUUUGUAAGACUUCCGAAAGGGCAUACCCUCGAUGUAGACGCCUAAACUACUACACUCGGGAUCAAAAAACGUUCCGGCCAAACACAAAUGACUACGGUCAUAUGUCUGCACCAGCCGAAUUUACGUGACUCAGGGAUGCCCGACCGUCGCUAUAAAAUCAUAGGCCAUUACUUCGAACCUAAUUCGAAAAGAACUGGUUAAAUAGGCUACCCUCAACAGGCAAAAGAGCUUCGACCAUAUCAGCUCCAAAUCAUAAGGCUUCGAGCUACUCAGCCUACGAGCUUAACCUUUUAAGGUGAUCGAACAUCACCACAAACAACUUGAAAUCGAGGUUCUUCCCGAACCGACGAUGGGUCAGGCAAAAUCAUUUCAAAAACUCCUUAACGAGAGGAAAACAAAGCCUACAUAUGCCUAAGGGAAAAUCGUAAGAGCCAUUGUUACCAACCUAAUAAGCCUUAGGGCCACACACUAAAAGGUCACAUCGACCAAAAGCGUAAGAGCCAUCAUCACCAACUUAAGAAUUUGAAAGCUUGAGGGUAAAAGUGAGCUCGAGUUGUAACCCGAUUCAGAGACCGGAUUCAAAAUAGUUAACUACACAUGCCUAAGGGCAUAGCGUAAGAGCCAUCGUUGCCAGCUUCAUAAGCCUCAGGGCCAUAUACAUAAAAGGUUGCUUCGACCCAAGGCGUGAGAGCCGUUGUCACCAGCCCAUGAAAAUACAGAACUUGAGGGUCAAUUGUACUCGAGUCGAAACCCAACUCGGAGACUGAACCCAAAAUAGUUAAAAUACAAAUGCCCAAAGGCAAGGCGUAAGGGUCAUUGUCGCCCACCCAUGCAGACACGAAAGCCUGAGGGUCGAAUGGGCUCGAGUAGAAGUCCGACUCAGAGACUAAACCUUAAACAAUUGAGCAAAAUCUUAAGAGCUCUAAUGCUAGCUUACACUAAAGGCUGCAUCAACCAAAAGCGUAAGAGCCCCCGGGCCUGCCUGAUGAGCCCCGAAGCCGUAUCACAAAUCUAAGGAUUCUCACCAACUCCGAAACUAGUCCACCUGGUCAGAGACAAAGCAGAAAGGGGUACAUAAGCAAUAAAGCUUCAAGUUCUCUUCUAUUUUACAUACAUGAAAAGGUGCAUCCUCCAUCUACGAACGCUCUCUGGCAAUAUCACAUACAAAAUGACAAAAUCUAUGCCCCGCCCCUGAGGGCUACGGCCUAUCGGCCUCGUCUUCGCUCUUCUCAGUGUCGUACAUGAGUGACCAAGCAUCAUGCUCGUCCGCCCUCGCUCGCGCCAGCUUUUCCGGGAGAACAAAACCCUUGGCACCGAUCUCAUCAAGUAACUUUCUUCGAGAUCUGCAAUGAGCAUAUUCUUCGAUCCUCUCUUCACGAUUGAGGACCCUCUUCAACUCAGCUUGGGCAGCGGUAGCAUCCUUCAAAUGAAUUUCCAUCUCCUGAUCAACCUUUGUCCGGCUUAGUGCUGCUUCAGCCCGAGCAUCAAGGAUCUCAGCCCUAACCUUUGAAAGUUCGAACUCAAGUUUUGUGAUCAUAUCCGCUUGAACUAAAGUAUUGUCACAAGCUAAGCAGAGUUGGGCCUCGAAAGCAGGAACUUUAGCCAAGGCACCCUUCGCUUCUAAAGCUUGAUCCUGCACCUGAGCUCUUAGCUCGGCAUAGUCAUUCCUGACUCGGUCGGUUUCACCCCUAAGGCGCUCCAGAGCCUCCGUCUUUUUCUGCAACUGGGAUAGGCAAAAAGUUAACCCAAAGGGUUAAAAGCUGAGACACAUACCCUCCCGGGAUGAGAAGUUACCUACGCCAUCAAAUAUCUCUCGUAAUUCGAGCUCCGGUAUGCCUCAUAUCGCUAGUGUGUUAACUCAACUUCCUCCUCCUCGCAAAGGAGCCUAAGGGACCUACCCUCAUCCAGAGCUUUCCGGAGCCUAGCCCCGUGAUGGAGCUGCUCAGACCUAAGCCUGUCAAAGUCCUACAGAAAAAAAACUCGAUAAGGAAGGGAAGUCGCGAGAUGCGGAAGGCCUGUGCUAAAACUCACCUCAAAAUGAAGCCGGCGGACUUUCUCGAAGGCCGAGCACACUUCUAUUGAUCCAGCCCCCUCGGCCCUGGAAGAACCAACCUCGGUCGAAGCAUGAUCAAUCGGAGAAACCACCUCUCCAGAACCAAAAACUUUGGGUGCAGCAGGCUUAGGUGAUGUUUUCUCCUCAAAGACUAGGCCCCAUUUUUCCCUACUGCGAGCUCAUCCUACUGCAAAUGCAUAUCCCGAUUAUCAUUAUCGUCCUUCAGCUCAGAAGCUGGCAGUUCCUCCCCCUCUCCGGAGGAACACAGCCUUGUCCUUGGGGACCCUUCGAUACCUACUACGCCAAGAUUAGUGCAUAAAAGGGGGAAAGGUCUUCCCAAACGUAUGAAGGAUAAGGUAAAAGUAGUUAUGCACAUACCGUGGUAUUUUGCUUCCCAUAUGCUCUGGGACACAGUUCGCCACCUAUGCUCGUCACAAGUCGAAUGGGUCGUCAACUUCUAAACCCAGCCAGGAAGAUCAGGAACUUUGCCUUGUGCCCAUGAAAUUGCUCUAGAAAAGAAGGAAACACGAUUACUAAACUAGCUUUCACCAUGAGUGAAUCUGAGAAGGCACGAGAUGCUCCAUUCACGUGUGUAAUUCCAUUCCUCGGGGAAUGGCAUAUGUUCCAAGGGAAUUACGUCAGUCGUCUGGACUCUGACGAAUAAACUGACCCACUCUUGAUCUCCAUCUUCCUCAUUAUCAACAAAAAAGGGCGUGGACGAACGGCACCGCAAAGUUAGCAGACAUUGAUGAUGAAAGGGCUGGUACAGGCGUCGUGACUGAGCAUGAAUUCAAGCCCUGCUUUCUCCGCGAAGAACCUUAUCAUCAGCACUAUUUUCCAAAAUGACGGAUGUAUCUGCACCGAAGUAACCUGAUACUUUAAACAGAAAUCGAGCAUGACCCUAUCAAGGGGGCCUAGUGCGAAAGGGUACAAGUACACAUUGUGAGGUCCGUGAUACCCUUAUUCGGGGGGAAGCGCCUGCAGCACUACCCCCUCGCCCCAUCCAUAGUCUCUCCUCACUAUCUCCAGAUGCUCCUCUCUUAUCGAAGACAUAGUCUUCAUAGUAAACUCCCGUGGAUCCUGAGCACUAGGAGUGGAACUCUCCCCUCUCUGUCGGGCAGACCCUGAAGUAGCAGUCAUGGCUAUAGUGGAACUAGCAAACUGAGGCAGGAACCUACAUGAACGCUUUGGCGCUAAGGUAACGAAGGACUUGAUGCCAAAAUGGAAGGAUAGCUAUCUAAAAAAUGGGAUCUUCCAAGAAGCGGGUGCAACCCCAUAUAUAUGUGGGGAAACAACAACGAUUUGCCUACCCAAGUUAGGCCCCAGGAGGCCAACGGCUUUGGUACGGGUUCCAAGGUGGUACUCAACCUUGAGGUUUCCUCUCAAGGAGAAAAUUAAGCACUUCAGGCUCCGUCUAUGAGGGCUCAACCUCAGGAAGUCGCCUAAAAAUGAGUAACCCCUCCUCAGAGACCUGCCUACAACACCGAAAAAGGUUAUCGACAUCAAGUUCAAAGUAAAUAUCCGAGUACCCGAAGUUAACUUUCGCUCAAAGGCCGUCUCAAAAAUUAAAGGUUCGGUGCUCUAUAUCCACAAGGCUCGAGGGUCCCGAUGACCCGAGUUUAACAAACCGCUUCAAGCUUGAUCUGAAAAAAAAUGAUGAGCUUGGAAAGGAGUCAUUCUAUCAACCAGAGGCCGGAAAGAAUGCUCGCACCCGAGUUGAAUAUUGACGAUCGUCAAUAGAGACAUACAUUCGAAAUCCCCGCAAAAUACACAAGAAUAUGGCAAAUAUCAAAAACAGAAGUAAAGAAGAUGUCUUUUUAUUUCAUAAAUAAUGGCUAACAACGGCCCUCAAGGGGUCCUUACGUACAAUUACAAAAGCCCGCAAGGGGUACUUACGCAGGAACAAAGAAGCAAAGGGAUGCAUACCCGUGGUAAAAGCCUAGAGCCUAGUCCAUCCUCGAAGGUUCAUCUCCAGUAUCAGCAUCUCCGAGCGCUGCCUCCUCGAGCUCGCAUCCUCGAAGGCAACUUCUUUGAUCGCCAUCUCCUCUAGGUUCCCAGCUUAAUCCCGCAGAAUGUCCUCGCUGUGGGAGAAGAUGGAGAAGAGGAAAAGGGGGGGGCACGCAGAAGAUACAGAGAAAGAGACAUAGCCCGCCGAAGCCAAAGGUUGAAGAUUCAGUGGGCCCCAGCCUCAACGGCCAGUUGUGCCAUUUUAUCCCCCGAGAAAGAAAAAAACCCAAGGGAUGAAGUGGCACACCAGUCCAGGGUAGGAGAUUGAGCAGCGGUAUAUAGUCCGAAUAAUUUUCUAAAGCGAGGAAAGUUGAUCCCCGUAUAUCAUCAUCUUGAGCCAAUAAGGAUAGCAACAGCAGGUGUAACAAUAACAACAGCAGCGACAGAACGGUAUAACCGUGCUCGACAAAGGGGAGCUCAAGCAAAAGGCCACAACAUGGCCUAUGGGAACGCUGCCAAACAAACUUAAGGCCGUGAACUCCGAACAUGGUGAUCAACAAUAGAGGAAGAUGGUGAGGAGAAAGGGAUGAAUGAGCAAAUAAAGACACUUGAAUAGAAAAAUAACGCCAUAACGCUCCUAUUUAUAGGAGAUAAUGACACGGUUAUCGAGGCCUUUGGAAGACUGACCGGCGGGCGCAAUUACUGCGUCCUUAAAGAACUGAAUCGAUGGUGGUACUGCCAUUUGAAGAACAAGAAUCGAUAGCGCAUUGAAUGGCAUCGAAAAGACAAGUCCAUGGAAUGUCCCGCUUAUCGUGAAAAUUCACGCCAUUGCAUCAUCGACAUGAUGUCGUCACGAGAAGCCCGGGGAGUAAGGUAUCAGAAUCAUUUCCCAUCGCUUUGUUCUAGGAAAUGCGGAGACUACCUGUAUGUGGCGAAAUUAGAGGGUCUAAUUUAUUGCUAUUAAGUCAUUUCGGAGGAACACCUCGAGGCCUCGAGGAUGCGAGGCUAUGACCGAGUUCCCUCCCUCAAAGCUCGUCAGGGCCCGACCUAAAGAGAAUAUUGAUCGAGGCUAGAGUAAAAUAGGGGAUUCCCAAGGCACACAGCUAAGUCUGACAGAGUCGGCCUACCUAGAGUCUGUAUCGAAUUGUCACAUCUAGUCGUCCCCUCUCCAUGCCUUUACAAUUAAUGUAUUUUAUACUAUGAUGAGAUUCCCCUCCUAUAUAAAGGGGAUCUUUAUCACUUUGUAAGGGGCUGUUGUUGCUCCAACUAUUCUACACAAGAUCAAUAACAUCUCUCUCUCUCUCUUUCUCUCUCUCUCUUUCUCUCUAGCUUACUCGCUCGAGACUACCUCUUUCAUUUAUUGCUUUCAUAUUUGUUCUCUAUUUAUUGCUUGAUAUUAGCCAUAAAGAGCCUCCUUUAAUUAUACUCUAACUGUUAGUUCCUUCCCGGUCAUCCCGAUAGCUCAAGCCCGAGUGUAGGCAUCAACCUCGAGGUCCUUAUCGGUUAGUCUGAGGCCCGGACAGCAAGCCCCUCGGUUUGAUUAUAGCCCUGUUUUAGUUCGUAUUUUAUCGUUAAGCUUCACAUAUCUAGCAUCAACUACUCUAACAACUAGCAUAAAAAUAGAUCACGUAUUUUUAGAGUCUCAUCAACAAAUUUAAUUGUUAUUACCAUUUUAACAGUAAACAGAUGGAAUAUUAGGAUUCAGCUUGGGUUAGAUUAACCCAAAAUGGUCAGGGGAGCUAAAAUAGUGAANNNNNNNNNNNNNNNNNNNNNNNNNNNNNNNNNNNNNNNNNNNNNNNNNNNNNNNNNNNNNNNNNNNNNNNNNNNNNNNNNNNNNNNNNNNNNNNNNNNNNNNNNNNNNNNNNNNNNNNNNNNNNNNNNNNNNNNNNNNNNNNNNNNNNNNNNNNNNNNNNNNNNNNNNNNNNNNNNNNNNNNNNNNNNNNNNNNNNNNNNNNNNNNNNNNNNNNNNNNNNNNNNNNNNNNNNNNNNNNNNNNNNNNNNNNNNNNNNNNNNNNNNNNNNNNNNNNNNNNNNNNNNNNNNNNNNNNNNNNNNNNNNNNNNNNNNNNNNNNNNNNNNNNNNNNNNNNNNNNNNNNNNNNNNNNNNNNNNNNNNNNNNNNNNNNNNNNNNNNNNNNNNNNNNNNNNNNNNNNNNNNNNNNNNNNNNNNNNNNNNNNNNNNNNNNNNNNNNNNNNNNNNNNNNNNNNNNNNNNNNNNNNNNNNNNNNNNNNNNNNNNNNNNNNNNNNNNNNNNNNNNNNNNNNNNNNNNNNNNNNNNNNNNNNNNNNNNNNNNNNNNNNNNNNNNNNNNNNNNNNNNNNNNNNNNNNNNNNNNNNNNNNNNNNNNNNNNNNNNNNNNNNNNNNNNNNNNNNNNNNNNNNNNNNNNNNNNNNNNNNNNNNNNNNNNNNNNNNNNNNNNNNNNNNNNNNNNNNNNNNNNNNNNNNNNNNNNNNNNNNNNNNNNNNNNNNNNNNNNNNNNNNNNNGGAAUAUUAGGAUUCAGCUUGGGUUAGAUUAACCCAAAAUGGUCAGGGGAGCUAAAAUAGUGAAACAAUAUUUUGUUGAGAUUUAUAGAAUAAGGUAAUAAACAGAGAUAUUAGCAGGAGAAUAAGACAGGAUGACAUAGUCUAUAGUCAAGUAAAGGAAAAGACAAGAGGUGACAUGUCUUGAGACUAUAAAAGAGUAUAAGCCACAAAGUCAUAUCCUCAUAUCGAGGAAAUGAGUUGCCGACUCCAAUGUAAUUACCAGAAGGCAAAGUUAGACCCCCCCAGAGUAAUAGAAAUCAACAUACGCUAGCAAUCAAUAAAAAAUAUCGAAUAUGAUUUAGGGACCAAAAUAUUCGAUAAUAGUCGGUAUUGUAAGAAUUUCAGAAAUCGUGUUCCGGUAAUGGUAGAAUGGACAACGGAAGAAUCACAUUUAAAGUUCAUUAAGGAAGACGUUUCCCUAAAGCAAGCAAUGUGAGUAGAGUUAUACUUAAGGGACUAAGUAUGCCAGUUCCACUAGGUGUCCCCCUCGCGCGAAUGAAACUCAGUUAUCCCUGGUAUAGAAGGGUUACCGCAAGGCGAGUAAGAGUUAAUGAAGAUGUGAAAAUAUGCCAAAGAUGAAGAGGUAAACCAUAUAUAGGUAAAUCUUCAUAGAAUUAAAUGCUAGUACUCUCCUAAGGGAGGGAAGACGAUGUGAUAUGGUAGUAAGUCGGAGUUAUGUAGUUCAAGUAACUAUGGAACAGUAAAGAAUGAAUGCGGUAAAAAGGCAAAAGGAAUGAGAUUGCAUUUAUUCAGAAUCUAUAGAUAUGUUACAACUCCAAAACAUUAUUAAAGCACGAUGUCGGGAGAGGCAACAAGGGUUCCCUCCCAGGAUGUUAUUGAUAACUAAGUGCGAAUGAGCACUUGAUAGAUAAGGAGCUAGUGCGAGAGGUAAGUUAAGACAAAGGAAACAACCCAAUAGAGAUUAUGCAGAAUAUAGAUAUGAGAAUGGACUUACGAGUAGUUAGUAGCUGACUCAGGAAGAUCCUAGUUAUGACUAGACAAGAGGAUACAGAUAAAUCAGUAGAUCGUGCAAGAUAAACCUAGUGAACCCUGGCAUAGGGAAUUCAGUCUCGCAGACACGACAUCGUAAUUCUUGAGAAAUAUUCAGAUAGGAGUUGAUGUAGUUAUAGUUGCCGUAAAAGUGUUACGGAAAUAAAAGAGAGUUCCACGGGGGAGAAAAAAAAUUGAGUUCUGAAGUAACCCUACGAGAACAAGGGCAUGGAGGUAUAUAACUAAGGAUAUUUAUAGGUGAGUAAGAACAUCAAAAAUUAUGUCAGGUAUAUGAUGGGAUAAGCUCACAGCUUUACAAGAGUUAGAGAGUCUUCCCUAAAUGCUACAACGAAAGACUAGCUGAAUAAAUAAGGAAGUAGGCUUCAAACUAAGCAUAGUGACCUAAAGAGGAAAUUAUCUUCUAACAACAGUCUCACUACGACAUUGUAUGCACUCCAAAACAAAGUGACACCUAUCGAAACUAAGGAACGGGAAGUAAAAUCCAAAGUAAUAUUCGAGAUCAUAUGAGUUGCACAAAAUUCCAAUAUGUGGGCACUAAGAUAAGCCGAGUAUUCAUGCAACAAGUGGCAGAACAACCAAGAAAGGUAAUUGCUUACUUUUAACAAAAGCUGAGAAGGCACGAAAGGAAUAUCUAUGACCCAAAAUUAGUUACGUUAUGAAUGCACAUAAGAUUUCAGAGUGUUAUCCAUACAGCAUAUAUGUUGACAAUGAUACAUCUAUAGGAGACUCCAGCAUAAGUUAAAAGAAAGAAUUUAGUCCAUGUCAUAGAUAAAAGCUUGAAUUACUAGAAGGUUAUAAUGGAUGUUCCAUAGCUUCCACGAGGGGCUAAGGUAAUAACUAAUAACCUAAGCCACAAAUUUGAAGAUAGCUUACGCCUACACAAAGGAUGAGAGAGAAGAGGAAGCUCGAGAGUUACAAUAGAUAAGUAAAUCAGGAGUUUGAUUAUUAGACCUAGAUGAUUAUACAAAUCGUGACUCAAAACAUUGUAGAAUCACUCUAAAUAUCUGAGGUACAAAAGAGAUAGUACAACGGCCAUAUUCUAUAAUGGCUCUACGAUAAAUCAAGUUAGAACAGUACCAACCUCAUAAGAAGUCAGUAUAAAGCUUUCACCGGACUGUGUAUGCACAUGGUGUGCAAGUAUUAUAGUAGAUCUUUAAGGUGUGGAUGUAAAUUUCACCUAUGUGGAAGGGAAGUUAUGAAAGAGGUAGAAGAUACGAUACAAGAUUUAAAGGUAAUUAAGGUAAAUGUGAAGAAGGUAUGAGAUGACCAAGUACAGAAGGUUACGAAUAAUUCAGAUAUCAGAUAGAGGGCUGGAAGCAUCGUAAUUCAAUAUCAAUAAAUGAUAAUGGUGUCGUCAGUGGCAUAUUUUCCAGCCUGUGGUUUCCAGAUACAGAGAGGUCUAGUUAAGAGAGUAAAUAAAAGUUAGAGACGAUAUGAUGUCUCGUUUGAGGUUCUAGAUAACAUAAGGAAAUAUAUGGUGCUAGCAAGUCAAAGGAAGGUUGCGAGUAGUAUAAAUAUAUAUAUGUAGGUCGCAAGCUAAAGUAUGGUAGAUCGACAAGGUUUUAGCUAGAUAGGGGAAAGGAUAAGAAUAGGUGAAUGAGAAGGUGACGAGAAUAGGUAAGUCCUCGGGAUUAAACCUAUCACAACAAGAGAGCUGAUGGUUUCUAUAAGUUAUAAAAAGCUUAGCAAACCAUGAGUGAACUCAAAGGAGUUUAAGACUAGGAGAAUUUAGAAGGGAUGGAAUGCUGCCCUAGUGGUAGAAUAACGGUGUAAUUGUGAUCGAUAAGAGGAUGACUUUUAGGCCUUGGAUUGGGCAACGAUUCAAAGAAAAGGGAUUUUAUGAAUUGUACAUGAUUAAAAUACCUCCAUAAGUUGAAUCACAUUGGGAUGCUAUGAAAUAUGGUUAAUGAAGUAUUGUAUUGUUCCUAGGUGGAUCAGGCAAAUAACUUCAGAUGUUCCCCGAUGCGACAUGAGCCCUAAUGACAAUGUAUUACGUAACAAGUGCCAAGUUAUCAGUGGUAGAUUAUAGAUCAACACAAGGUGAACCAACAAUAGGUGGAUAAAAAUUCCAAAGUAUGCGAUGAGAUUAGGCCAUCAUUCUUAAGAUGGACAGUAAUGAGGAAGAACUAAAGGACUUAGAUUUAUACAUAUAGGAUCAACAACAAGAUAGUAACCUGGAGUUGGGUAGCAAACCUCGGUAAUAAUAAACCAAAGUAAGUGUUAUGGUAUAGUAUAACCUACCUAGAUAUAGUAAAGCCAUAAGGAUAGAUAUACAAGGCUAUGAAACAAGACAUAGAAAUAGUGGUAAGUUCAACAAAGUACCAAGCGAAGGACUUCAGUACACCUACAGAUGUCUAGAGGGACAACUUGCCAUAGUUUUCUAUAUAUUCACAAAGUGGGCCUAGAGAUUGGUUAAAAGCUGGAGGAAAUAUGAGAGAAGAGUUUCAUAGGUGCUCGUACAAGGACACAAUCGUACAGGCUGCAUGGCAGAAGGUAGUAAUAGUUACGAGAUCAGAAGAAUUCGACCAUAGGUCGUGGUGUGAGAAAGAGGUCUAAAGGGAGGAAUGCCCUGUCCUUUGGAUUUGUUCAUAGAGCAGUGGCCUAGAGGGAAAGGACAAUACUAAGAUAUCCAUAAAAUAUAUAAGUUAUGAGACUGAUAAGCACGUUAGUCAACAUUCGAGGACAAAUGUUCCAAAGGGGGAAUAAUGUUAUACCCCAUAUUUUCAUACGUGAGAUUAUGUCAUAAGUCAAUUGAUGUAAGCUCACAAAUGAGAUCAUCUUUAAAAUUACAUAAAGUAAUUUAAUCAUGUUAAAUUAGAGGUUACAAAUAUUUAAGAUCAUGGACUGAAAAUACCAAGAGGUUGGAAGGCUUAGAAGAUAAACCAAUUGAAGAAAAUAAGUUUCGUUGAAAGUCGACAAGUUGGAAAUGUUAUAACAUAUACUUUUGGGGUGAGACUAGGGUGCUCAAAAUGAUAAUGAGUUUAUGUUAUUAGUUAUUUUUGUCUUAUGAAAGUCGGUUUUGAAGUCAAGUGAGUUGUGUAACAAAAGUUAGCAAAGAUCAUCACAAGUUACAUUCAUAAAUAUGCUGAAAUUUAGGUCAAAUAUAGCUAAGCUAUUCUCCCAAUAUACUUGGAAUUGUGGCAUGAUAUACCUACAACAUUGAAGAUCUAUGAGACUCUUUUCUAACGCAUUAAACCAUUCAUCGAUACGAUAUAGUAGUGGAGUGAUAUUUGCAGUUUCAUGAGACUGCGCAGACUGCAUAGGUGGCAAGUAGGUGUGUCACUAACGAUUUUUGAGCAAUACGUUUUAUGCGUUAUAUGAGGUCUUUUGGGACAUAUUAUAUACCAAAUUGAAGGUAUUUGAAUUUAGUUUCUAACGCUCUUAACUGUUUGUUAAUACAACAUCCAAAUAAAAAAGAUAUAAGCGUCUGAAAAAGAGCCAAUAAUAGGGUGCCAAGCUAGCACCUCUUUGACUUUUCAAAAAUGGAUAUAUAUAGGCCUUAUGUCGUCUCUUUCUUCACUUUUCCACAUACCACGACUAGAAUAAGACCCCUAAUAUUAUCCUCAAGCUCUCCACAAGGGUUUCCAUUAAUAUUAACAUCUUGGGUAUGAAAUUAAGAAGUGAUAACACUAGAACGAUCCCUACGAUGUAAGUAUCGCUAUAUCGCCUCUAUUUUUCUUUGUAGUUUGAGUUUUGGAAGGUAUUUCAUAGUUAAUAAAACUUCUAGUUUUUAUACUUAAGAUUUAAAUUUCAAGGAAGGUUGAUAAAAUUCGUUUUCUAAUAGUUAGAACUCACGGGAUGGUGAUCGGAAGCCUUGAGUUUGAGUUAUUUGUCUUGUAGUGGACUGUUUUGUGGGUUGUUUCGUGUUUAUUUUGGGCUGUAUAUUCUGCUGAUGUCUUAUGGAGUUUUGGAGGAUAAAAGGUAUGGAAAAACACCACAUAAUGACGGAAUGGUGGGCUAGUCAUUCGUCGUUACAUUUUUUUUUUUGGUAGUUUGACGCAACUUUUUUUGUCGUUUUAUGUAUGAAGUGAUUAGGGUGUAUGGGCUAUUUUGUGAUAUAUUGUGGAGAUAAGGUAAAACAAUGAUGCAUACAUAUUUUUAUUGUUUUGUUCUUGGUGUUGUUGGUAUAUGGUAUUGGAGGAGGGCCUUGUUACAGGGGAGAUGCUGCCUAAAUUUACAUAAACGAGCUACUAGUUUAAGUUGUAGACUUAGCCUUUACUCAACAUUGAUUUUGAAUCUCCUUAUAUUAUGGUAGAUUGAGUUGAGUUGUUUGAAGAAUUUCUUGGAAGAUAUUAAUGACUCAAUGGAGUUAAGAUAUGUUAAGGCUAAACCUUUCCUUCAUUUUGGCGUGAUCUUGUAACUACAAGUGUUUGACAACGAUACAUAAAGAGAAGUUCAUAUUCCUGAAUUUAUGUACAUUGUCAUAGUCUCAUAAGUUACAACAUUCUCCCUUAUCUGGACUUCAUAUUCAGUUUAGUUUUAUCUUCUUUCAGCCAAGAGAGCAGAGAGUCUAUAUAUAUACAGUAUUACAAUAUUUUCACCACCAUCGAGCUAUAAUCGAUGAGCAGACCCCUAUUGGACAACCUUUGAUCAUAUGUUAAGUUAUAUACCGAGCCUACUGUGGUCGAGCGCCAAUGAGUGAGCCCAAAAUGGCAGAGAUACAGAGCCUAGUAUGGCCAAGCGCCUAGGAGCGAGACUACUACGGUAGAGCAGUUACACAUACCGAACCUUAUAAGGCCGAACAUCUAUUUUACUUACUAUAUUGAGAGAGUUGAGUUAGUAUCAGCAGGUAAGUAUAUCUUCAGAUUAUCUUUGUAUCCCAGUAACUUUCAGUUAUUAUAUUAUCAGUUCAGUUUCUGUUUUAAGUUAUUCUGUUGCCUUACAUAUUCGGUACAUUAUUUUGCAUUGGCGUCCCUUUUGUCGGGGACGUUGCAUUUCAGGACUGCAGGUCCUGAUCGACAUUUGGACAGACCUUCCCAGCAGACAGAGUCAAACAUCAGCUUGGUUGGUAAGCUCCAUUUCCUUGGAGUUACUAGGCCUAGACCUUGGAGUCAAUUAUAUAUAUGCAAGUUUGAUGGGUAGGUCGAGGCCCUAUCCCGACCAUGAUACAGUUCACUUAUCUCUAAGGUUUGUAGACGGGUCCUAUAUAUUUUGUAUAUCAGUUGAUAUUAUAUAUAUCAGCUUUUGGGUAUAUUUACCGCAUAUAUGAGAGACGUUAUUUUCAGAUGAUUCAGAAUAUGGCCUCAUCGGCCUAAGUUGAGGGUUACCCUCCAGAGUUUACAGUUACAGAACGCUCGAGCUGAGUAUGGAACCAGGUGCCAGUCACUCCUCUUCAGGUUCAGGGCGUGACAUCUGGCCAGUGCUUGGCUUGAUUUUUAAGUUCCAAUACUUGAAAGUGGUCAUUUAUGUAAUAGUUUAAUUUGUGUAAUAAUUUGUUUCAUCAAUGGUGGAUGCAGUUGUAUAAAUUGAAAAAGGAUCGAUAGCUAUUAUUCAGGAGUAUAAAUUUCCAAUCAUGGAAUGCUGUCAUAUAGCAAUUUGGUGUGAAUUUAUCGUUUAAAUCUUUUGGAAUGUUUUGAUUGUGGUAAUUCAGUAUGAAUAUCAUUCUUCAUGUCAUUAUGUCAAUCAUUGUGUAAGUUAAGCACAUGCUGAAUUUUGUGGAA